GGCGACUCCAAUCACUCGAAAACACCCCAGAUGAACCGACACGACACUCUUUUGACGCGUGGGCUUAAAAUCACCAGUAAAUAACAUCUGAUACUCUGCACGUAUAUGCCGGGUGCAGCUGGCUCUGUCCUUGAUCAGGCCUGUAGCCGGACAGCGCUGUCAUUCACCAUUGCCCAAAUUAUCUCUGUAUUGACUGCACAAGCCUCUGUGACAGCAGUGUAAUGGCUAAUUACCCAGGAUGCUUUGGGUACUUUCAAACCCCAGACUCUGCAAAGGAAACGGAGCGAGCGAGAGAGUGUGUGUUUCUCAGAGGCAGGAGAUAAAUCUUACAUGUUAGGACAGAGAACAGGAUCAAGAGAAAAGCAGACAGCAUCAGCAGCUUCAACAAUCUCUGCAGUGAUGACACUGAACUAAACAUUCACUGCAUUUACUACAUUGUUUUAAGAGUCUACUUCUGUCCGCCGGAGGUUGCAUUUCGGUCGUGGACGCAUAUUUUGAGAGCCUUCCAGACUGAAUGAAUGAAAUACAUGAUUUUCCACCAAGGUUUCACGAGCAUGAAAAAUAAACUCUCCGUUGGUCACGAAGCGUUUGGAGCAGUGUGUUAGAUGCGCAGGUCAGAUGAGUGUCCGAAACAGAGGCUCUUAAGCAGUAAAAGAGCUGCGAUGGAGGGAUGGGAAAAGGCACACGGCGAGAGGAGGAGGAAGAAGGUGAGGGAAUAGAGGGAACUAAAUCCCACUCUGACUGUUAGGGAAGAUGAUGAGAUCCCGAGAGGACGGACAGAGCGCAGAGAGGGAGGAAAAGAGAGAGAAAGA
Molecule: non-coding RNA, 812 nt
Organism: Danio rerio (zebrafish)
Lineage: Eukaryota; Metazoa; Chordata; Actinopteri; Cypriniformes; Danionidae
Source: Ensembl